Molecule: long non-coding RNA, 216 nt
Filed under: Elaeis guineensis (African oil palm)
Lineage: Eukaryota; Viridiplantae; Streptophyta; Magnoliopsida; Arecales; Arecaceae
Description: long non-coding RNA (EGUI_LNC021741)
Source: RNAcentral
GUCCAAAUCAAGAAGAAGGAGGCACCUGAUCAACCAUCAAAGAAGGAUCAGCGCAGUACUAGCAUACUAUGCUGAUUUCCUGAAGCAGGACUUCUGAUCGAGAUUCGUGGGCUCGUGUGGAUGACUCCUAGAGGUCGGACGUAUGUGCGGCUUGCAACAUCAUCCUCAAGCCCAGAUCAACAAGGUUAGAACGUCUAACUUGCAAGGUAAUAGAUC